Molecule: ribosomal RNA, 797 nt
Filed under: Ancorina robusta
Lineage: Eukaryota; Metazoa; Porifera; Demospongiae; Tetractinellida; Ancorinidae
Description: partial 28S large subunit ribosomal RNA
Rfam family: Eukaryotic large subunit ribosomal RNA
Source: RNAcentral
AUCAAUAAGCGGAGGAAAAGAAACUAACCAGGAUUCCCCCAGUAACGGCGAGCGAAGCGGGAACAGCUCGAGCAGGCAAUCUCUGGUGUCGAUCGCCAGCGAAUUGUGGCCGGUAGAGGCGGGUGCACCUGACGCGACUUCGUCGAAGUUGACCUGGAAAGGCACGUCGGAGAGGGUGAUAGCCCCGUGCGUGGCGGAGUCGCCGAGGGAAGCUACCGUCUUCUGAGAGUCGGGUUGUUUGGGAGUGCAGCCCAAAGUGGGUGGUAAACUCCAUCUAAAGCCAAAUAGCGGCACGAGACCGAUAGCGAACAAGUACCAUGAGGGAAAGGUGAAAAGCACUUUGGAAAGAGAGUUAAAGAGGCCGCGAAACCGUUGGGAGGGAAACGCAUGCAGCCGGACCGGCCCGCGUCGAGUUCACGGGGCUGCCGUUAGUCGCGUCUGCCGUCGUCACCGAAAGGGUCGRCGGUGGGCCCGGGCUCUCGGCACCCCUGCACUCUCGGUGCUUCGGGCCGGCCAAGCGCGGCGGGAUCCGGGCGACGAGCUCGGUCGGGCAGGUAACGCAGCCGCCUGGCGGAGGCGAACUUAUAGCCGGCCGAGCGGAGCGUCCGGGACCCGCCGAGGAGAGCGGUGGCACUUCCACCCAAGCAGCGCAGGCCGCUCGUCGGCAGGGGCUCUCUGGCUCGUUGGCGAGCCGCUCCGCGUCACUGCGUGCAGUGGCCGGGGACGGUCCGCCUCCGGGUCGGGGKUAGCUCACUCCUUGCGCUCGGGCCGCUUGGCCUGACGUCGGCUGCAUCCGA